AGCUUGCUCUUAUGAAGUUAGCGGCGGACGGGUGAGUAACACGUGGGUAACCUACCCAUAAGACUGGGAUAACUCCGGGAAACCGGGGCUAAUACCGGAUAAUAUUUUGAACUGCAUAGUUCGAAAUUGAAAGGCGGCUUCGGCUGUCACUUAUGGAUGGACCCGCGUCGCAUUAGCUAGUUGGUGAGGUAACGGCUCACCAAGGCGACGAUGCGUAGCCGACCUGAGAGGGUGAUCGGCCACACUGGGACUGAGACACGGCCCAGACUCCUACGGGAGGCAGCAGUAGGGAAUCUUCCGCAAUGGACGAAAGUCUGACGGAGCAACGCCGCGUGAGUGAUGAAGGCUUUCGGGUCGUAAAACUCUGUUGUUAGGGAAGAACAAGUGCUAGUUGAAUAAGCUGGCACCUUGACGGUACCUAACCAGAAAGCCACGGCUAACUACGUGCCAGCAGCCGCGGUAAUACGUAGGUGGCAAGCGUUAUCCGGAAUUAUUGGGCGUAAAGCGCGCGCAGGUGGUUUCUUAAGUCUGAUGUGAAAGCCCACGGCUCAACCGUGGAGGGUCAUUGGAAACUGGGAGACUUGAGUGCAGAAGAGGAAAGUGGAAUUCCAUGUGUAGCGGUGAAAUGCGUAGAGAUAUGGAGGAACACCAGUGGCGAAGGCGACUUUCUGGUCUGUAACUGACACUGAGGCGCGAAAGCGUGG
Molecule: ribosomal RNA, 704 nt
Filed under: Bacillus sp. (in: firmicutes)
Lineage: Bacteria; Bacillati; Bacillota; Bacilli; Caryophanales; Bacillaceae
Description: bacterial SSU rRNA
Rfam family: Bacterial small subunit ribosomal RNA
Source: RNAcentral